UGUUGGUUUCUGCUUUCCUUCACUGUGCAGCUCUACUUGUCACGAGACAGGUGUUUACAUUCCACAGUCUGUACUGUUGGAGUUUCUCACGGGAAAGGGAGACUGGAUGUGACGUACACUGGUUUCCUGUUUUUCACUGUGUGAUUCUCUCCGAGCUGUCGAGGAGAGAGGAUGCAUUUCUCUGCUCCGGCAGAGGCAAGAUGUCUUUCUGUAAUAUACCAGCUUUGAACUGUAAAUAAAGCAAUAUAGAGUAUGUAGCACGUACUCCUCAUCCUUCCGCUGGGCACGACAGACUCUGCUUUAAAUCAACACGUGGUUAUGGGCUCCAGAGGUCGAAUCGGAGUGCCGGCAAAGGAUCGGAAUGCAGAGGGACGGAUCGGAAAGGAAUCUGCUCUGCGCGUAGAAGUGAUUGAUGAGGUAUGUGCUACUGCUCCGGGCAGCCUGCCAGCUUCAAGUUAAUGGCUUUAUGGCUGGACUUUGAACUUUUAAAGCCGGUUUUGCCGGGAAUAGGCAAAAGGCUCCCAGGCACAAGUCACUAUGCUGGGGAAAUCGAAAGUAACUUUUAAGUGUGCCUUUGUAAUAAGGCAGCUGCAGCAGUGACGCAGCAAGAAUUAAAGCAGCAUAUGACGCUGAAGGCUAAUGCCAGAGUCAUGAUGGCCCUUCAGGAUGCUUGUGGGAUUCCUAAGCUCAACAAGAAAAAUUACAGCGACUGGGUUCAGUAUGCAGAGGCAAUUCUGCGGAAAGAGGGUUUGUUUGAGGUGAUUACAGGAACCCCCAGUUCCAGUUACAGAUGCAUGGGAAGCUAAGGAUUCCAAAGCAAGGGGAACUCUUACAUUGAUAGUAUCCCCAGAAGAGCUCUGUCUAUUGCGUGAUAAGACCUCAGCCAGAGAAAUUUGGGACGCUCUGAGAGAGGCUCACUUAAGGACAGAAGCUGGAUCCACUAUGUUUUACUUUAACAAGCUGCACAAUAUGGCUCUUGCUGAAGGUGGAGAUGUGCGUUUACAUCUAAUGGAGAUGCAAAAUCUGAGACAUGAGCUGCAACAGAGAGGACUCAACUUUCCAGAGGCUGUGUAUUCUUUCAUGAUACUACAAUCUUUGGGUUCAGGUUGGGAGUCUGUUGCAACCCAGAUUGCUGUGCAACCAACUGCUCAGCUGACAGUGGACUUUGUUACUGCCGUGAUUUUAAAUGAAGCAGAUCGCCGGGGUGCUAGCUGCAUGGGCAAGGGGGAGUCUUCACAGACGUCAUCCCAUAGUGCAGUGGAACCACCAGAUGGCGCCAAAGCUUUGAAGGCAGUGAAAUGCUACUCGUGUGGACGUCUAGGCCAUAUGAAGAGGGAAUGCAGACAUCCCAGGGCCAAGACAGAGCAGCGCAGCGAAAGCUCAUCGCGCGGAAAAGGCCGAGGCAAAGGCAAAGGUCCGGUGUCUAGGACAACGCAGCACAAGGCUAUGGUUUCACGCUUCACUCCAAAGGUUGCAGAGGUCCAGAAGACGUCUAGAUCUUUCUUCGUUGUUGAUUCAGCGGCCACCCACCACAUGUGCAACGAUAAGAAACUGUUUGUGUCUUUUACACCGCAGGAAGGUGCGAUUCACCAGGCGGAUGACCACACUAUUCCCAGUAAAGGCUACGGAACUGUUGUUCUUCACAGUUUGGACUUAUCGAUACAGAAUGUGCUUUACGUGCCAGACGCCAAACAUAAUCUGCUCAGCGUUGGACAGCUGAAUGAGCGGAACAUUGACGUUUCCUUCAAGAACAAGAAGUGCAUCAUCACAAAGAAAAAUGAUUAUGUAUUGCAUGCAGAAUAUGUUGAUCAUUUGUUUGUUUUGUAUUAUGAUGAUGUGGUGCAGGAUGACACUUGUUGCAUUGCAGGUUCUAACAAAAGUUUGCAUGCAGAAUGUAUUCACGAUUUUCAUCGAAAAUUUGGUCAUUUGCAUUUUGAGGCAGUAUCUAAAAUGCCUGCCUUGGUUGAAGGUAUGACUAUUAAACCCUGCAGGUACCACAUGAAGUGCAAAGCAUGCGCAGCAAACAAGGUGAAAAUGGCUGCGAAAGGUAAGGUGUCUAGUAGGAAAGCUACAGAACCAUACCAGGUUGUUCAUGCUGAUUUGGUUGGACCACUAGCGCCCUCUUUGGGUGGAAAUAGAUACUUCAUGGUUCUCAUUGAUGCAUUUUCUAGAUAUAUUUUUGUGUACAAUCUCAAGCAGAAAUCGGAGGCUUUUCCUAGGUUCAAGGAAUUCUGUGCUUGGUUGGAAAAUGUGCAUGGUAAGAAGAUAAAGACUCUUUUCAGUGAUCGCGGGGGAAUUCACUUCUCAGCAGUUUGAAGCUUUUCUGACUGAGAAAGGAAUUCAACACGAUUUGUCUAGUCCUCGCUCGCCAUGGCAGAAUGGACUUGCGGAACGGGCAAAUCAGACAUUGCUUCAAGGGUUAAAAACCUUGCUGCAUGAUGCCAAUCUUCCAGAGAGUUAUUGGGCCGAAUCUCUCUCGUGUUUUGUUUACAGUUACAAUCGCAGGUUAUCUUCAGCGAUUGGUUGUACUCCUAUGAGAAGAUGUUUGGCAAGAAGCCAUACAUCAAACACAUGAAGAUUUUUGGUUCUGACAUGUGGGUUCGCUCACCACAAAACUCCAAGUUAGACAAGCGUGGAUUGCAUGGUAUCUUUCUAGGUUAUCAGAAAGGGUCUUACAGAAUAAUGAUGACUGACUCUAAGACAAUUAAGCUCACGAGAAGUGUUGAGUACAAUGCAAAGUGGGGGGAGCAUGUGGGAAUUUUCCAAUGUUAUCCUGAUGACGGUGAUGAGACUGAGGAUAGUCAAAGCAACCACAACAACCCACACCCACUGAUGAAGGUUCUGAGUCUGAAUCUGAAACUGAAUCGGGUGAUUCAGAGGAUUUCAAGAGUGCGAAAGCCUCUAUGCGACCCUCUGAAAGCUCUGAUCAAGAAUUGGAGGAACCAUUGUUCACAAUAGGUCGUUUUUCUCCUAAGAAGGAAGAGGAGAGUGUUGAAGACUUAAGGCUAAUUCGUAGGUCACAGAGAGCUACAAAAGGCAAACCUCCAAAGAGAUUUGCUGAUGAGUUUGCUAAGAUAGCAGUAACAGCUGUUAAAAGCUCCAAGAAGGUAUUUGAACCUUCAAGUUUCCAAGAAAUCCAGGGUUUGGAUUCAAAGGAAGCUGAGCCAUGGUUAAAUGCCAUGAAGGCUGAGCUUGAUUCCUUAGAAAGGAACAAAACAUGGGAGCUAGUUCCAGUAGUUCCAGGAAUGAAACUGCUUGGAAGCAAAUGGGUCUUCAAAGCGAAGACAGAUCAAAAUGGCAAGAUAGUCAGACACAAAGCCAGAUUGGUAGCCAGAGGUUUUGCACAGGUACCAGGUCAAGACUAUCACGAGACCUAUUCACCCACAGUGAGAUAUGAAAGCAUUAGGCUUAUGCUUAAGCUAGCUGCAGAGGAAAAUCUACACAUUAGUCACCAUGAUAUUAAUACAGCUUUUCUGUACGGAUCUCUAGAUGAAUCACUUUAUAUGCUUCCACCUGAUGGCGUACAGGUAAAACAGGGAUUUGUUUGUGCUCUGAAGAAAUCCCUUUAUGGUCUCAAACAAAGUGCACGGUGUUGGCACACAAAACUCACUGAAGUAUUGUUUUCUCUAGGUUUUCAGCAAGGGAAAGCUGAUCCAUGUGUAUUUGUCAAAGAGGAGGGGCAAAAGAAACUGUACUGUUUGUUUUAUGUUGAUGAUUUAUUAUUCUUUUGGAAAGAUGUCGCAAUGUACAAUAACGCCCUAGCUCAACUGAAAGAGCACUUUGACAUGAAAGAUCUUGGUGAGGUAAACAACUACCUAUCUCUGGAAAUAGAGAGAGAUCAAGAUGGUAACAUUCUAGUACACCAGUCACGGAAAAUUGCUGAUGUGUUAAGCAAACUAAAUCUGAUGGAUGCUAACCCUGUAGACACACCGAUGACAACAGGUUAUCAGGUAGAUGACACUGAAGAAGCAUUUUCUGACACUACACUGUACAGGAGUGUGCUAGGCAAGCUAAACUUCAUUGCCAGAUGUUCAAGACCAGACAUUGCUGUUAGCUGUAAUUUGCUAAGCAGACAAGUCAACAAUCCUAGUGUCAAGGAUUGGAAAGCUCUGAAACGCAUAGCGCGGUAUUUGAAAGGCACUAUGCAUUACAGACUGAGAUUUAACAAUCAGAAGUCUGGUGGUCUUGAGAUAUUUGCAGAUGCAAGUUUUGGAAGUGACGCUACAGACAGGAAAGGUACGUCUGGAGUUUGCUACAUGUACAAUCAGGGUCUGUUUGAUUGGUCAUGCAAGAAGCAAACAACAGUUAGCUUAAGUACUUGUGAAGCUGAACUGAAUGCACUGUCUUAUUCACUUAAGGAUUGUGAAUGGUUAGUACAAUUGUGCAAAGAUAUGAAAAUUCCUGUCAAAUGUCCAAUCCAGGUUUACCAGGACAACAAAGCAUGUUUGGCUUUGCUGAAGUCUGAAGGUUGUAAGCAAAGCACAAAGCACUUGCAAUUAAAGUUGCAGCAUGCUAGGGAAUGUAUUCAGAAGGGACUCGUAACGGUGUCCUAUAUGCCAGGUAAUGAAAUUCCUGCUGAUGUAUUGUCCAAGAUUGUAUCAAGGGAUCAACACUGUACCUAUGUGCAGAAGUUGGGUUUGUACUGAUACUGUACGAACACGCUGCCCAGUGAUGUUCACAGAAAGGGGGGAGGAUGUUGGUUUCUGCUUUCCUUCACUGUGCAGCUCUACUUGUCACGAGACAGGUGUUUACAUUCCACAGUCUGUACUGUUGGAGUUUCUCACGGGAAAGGGAGACUGGAUGUGACGUACACUGGUUUCCUGUUUUUCACUGUGUGAUUCUCUCCGAGCUGUCGAGGAGAGAGGAUGCAUUUCUCUGCUCCGGCAGAGGCAAGAUGUCUUUCUGUAAUAUACCAGCUUUGAACUGUAAAUAAAGCAAUAUAGAGUAUGUAG
This 4952-nucleotide long non-coding RNA is filed under the name Podarcis lilfordi (Lilford's wall lizard). The record is from RNAcentral. Lineage: Eukaryota; Metazoa; Chordata; Lepidosauria; Squamata; Lacertidae.